Molecule: unclassified non-coding RNA, 376 nt
Filed under: soil metagenome
Description: partial contains 5.8S ribosomal RNA, internal transcribed spacer 2, and large subunit ribosomal RNA
Rfam family: 5.8S ribosomal RNA (bases 1-120)
Source: RNAcentral
GAUGAAGAACGUAGCGAAAUGCGAUAAGUAAUGUGAAUUGCAGAAUUCAGUGAAUCAUCGAAUCUUUGAACGCAUCUUGCGCUCCUUGGUAUUCUGAGGAGCAUGUCUGUUUGAGUGUCAUUAAAUUCUCAACUACACUGACUUUGAAUUGGUGUGGCUUGGAUUUGGGGGGAAAAUUGUUGUGGGCUUUUUGUAUAGUCUGCUCCCCUGAAAUUGAUUAGCGGUACCUUUGUGGAACUGUCUACAGGUGUGAUAAUUAUCUACAUCUUAGACAUCUGCUGGAAUGCUGCUUUCUAAACCUUACUUGUAUUGACAAUCUUGACCUCAAAUCAGGUAGGACUACCCGCUGAACUUAAGCAUAUCAAUAAGCGGAGGA